This 460-nucleotide ribosomal RNA is filed under the name uncultured bacterium. Its description in RNAcentral is "partial 16S ribosomal RNA". It matches the Rfam family "Bacterial small subunit ribosomal RNA", at positions 338 to 795 of the family's 1533-position model. The record is from RNAcentral.
CCUACGGGUGACAGCAGUGAGGAAUAUUGGUCAAUGGGCGCGAGCCUGAACCAGCCAAGUAGCGUGAAGGAUGACUGCCCUACGGGUUGUAAACUUCUUUUAUAAAGGAAUAAAGUGAGGCACGUGUGCCUUUAUGUAUGUACUUUAUGAAUAAGGAUCGGCUAACUCCGUGCCAGCAGCCGCGGUAAUACGGAGGGUCCGAGCGUUAUCCGGGUUUAUUGGGUUUAAAGGGAGCGUAGAUGGGUUGUUAAGUCAGUUGUGAAAGUUUGCGGCUCAACCGUAAAAUUGCAAUUGAUACUGGCAGUCUUGAGUACAGUUGAGGUAGGCGGAAUUCGUGGUGUAGCGGUGAAAUGCUUAGAUAUCACGAAGAACUCCGAUUGCGAAGGCAGCUUACUAAACUGCCACUGACAUUGAUGCUCGAAAGUGUGGGUAUCAAACAGGAUUAGAUACCCCGGUAGUC